Molecule: ribosomal RNA, 447 nt
Filed under: uncultured bacterium
Lineage: Bacteria
Description: bacterial SSU rRNA
Rfam family: Bacterial small subunit ribosomal RNA
Source: RNAcentral
UCGGGAAUUUUGGGCAAUGGGCGAAAGCCUGACCCAGCAACGCCGCGUGAAGGAUGAAGUAUUUCGGUAUGUAAACUUCGAAAGAAUAGGAAGAAUAAAUGACGGUACUAUUUAUAAGGUCCGGCUAACUCUGUGCCAGCAGCCGCGGUAAUACAGAGGGGGCAAGCGUUGUUCGGAAUUACUGGGCGUAAAGCGCGCGUAGGCGGUCGUAUAAGUCGGAUGUGAAAGCCCUUGGCUCAACCAAGGAACUGCGUCCGAUACUGUACGGCUUGAGGCUGGUAGGGGGUAGCGGAAUUCCCGGUGUAGCGGUGGAAUGCGUAGAUAUCGGGAGGAACACCGAUGGCGAAAGCGGCUACCUGGGCCAGAUCUGACGCUGAGGCGCGAAAGCUAGGGGAGCAAACAGGAUUAGAUACCCCCGUAGUCCCUGAGCGGGCUGGCAAGGCGCAU